Molecule: transfer RNA, 83 nt
Filed under: Chloroflexota bacterium
Lineage: Bacteria; Bacillati; Chloroflexota
Description: Chloroflexi bacterium (sediment metagenome) tRNA-Leu
Rfam family: tRNA
About the family: Transfer RNA (tRNA) molecules are approximately 80 nucleotides in length. Their secondary structure includes four short double-helical elements and three loops (D, anti-codon, and T loops).
Source: RNAcentral
GCACCGAUGGCGGAAUGGCAGACGCGCUUGGUUGAGGGCCAAGUCCACUAACGUGGGUGGAGGUUCGACUCCUCUUCGGUGCA